Molecule: small RNA, 765 nt
Filed under: Pan troglodytes (chimpanzee)
Lineage: Eukaryota; Metazoa; Chordata; Mammalia; Primates; Hominidae
Description: processed transcript
Source: RNAcentral
CUGAGGUCCGCGACUCGUCGCUAAGAUUCCCCAAAACUGAGAUUUCAAGAAAAUUCACCCUUUCCGCUUUCUUUGGCGUCCUUCAACCGUGAAGGAAAUGAAGGUUGAGAACCUGGAACCCGCUUCCAAAGACCAAGCCCUUUCUCUGUGCCUCACAACAGUCUUGCGCUGUAGCUGUUUUUAUUACCCCUAUUUUACUACUGGGGAGGAGAUUUGAGGUCCUGAAAGUGAAGUGACUUGCUGGACGUCACUUAGCAGAGGAGAUGGCGAAACCUGGAUUAGAGGCGAUGCCUUCUAACUCCCAGCGUGGAUUUGCCUCCUUUCCUGGGGGUGACUGAAUGCCCAGCCAGGGACGCGACAUCUCCGGCCGGCAGAAAUACGGCCUCCUCCCCGCCGACUGGGCAAACGGGGACCUUGCGGCCAAGGAGGGAUUCGCAGGCGGGCCGGGGGUGGGAGCGGGGGCCGGAGCCGGAGCCUUGGCCCGCCCCCGGGCGGUGCUGUGAUUGGCCGGCCGCUCCGGCGAGCGUCGCGAUUGGCCUUCCUGCAGCCGUUGAGAUUUGAACUCGGUAUUUGUGGCUUUGCCCGCGCGUUGCCAGACUCAGAGGCGGCCCUUUGCCUCUGCCUGCCGGGGAUUGGCCGGAUUCUCCGCCGACUUGAAAACUGCCUUGCUAAUUGCCCUGUGAGCCUGUAGGAGUAGAAUGGCUCCCCAAAUGUAUGAGUUCCAUCUGCCAUUAUCCCCAGAGGAGUUGUUGAAAAGUGGAGGGG